AACCUUAUGGACCUGCGGGCGUAUACCUGCGGAAGGAUCAUUAUUGAAUAAAUCUGGCGUGGUUGUAGCUGGCUCUUAGGAGCAUGUGCACGCCCGUCAUUUUUAUCUUUCCACCUGUGCACCCUUUGUAGAUCUGGAUAACCCUCGCUUACCGAAGCGGAUGCAAGGAUUGCUGUGUCGAAAGGCCGGCUCUCUUUGAAUUUCCAGGUCUAUGUCUUUUUACACACCCCAAUUGAAUGU
RNAcentral lists this unclassified non-coding RNA (240 nucleotides) under soil metagenome. RNAcentral's name for it is "partial contains 5.8S ribosomal RNA, internal transcribed spacer 2, and large subunit ribosomal RNA". The record is from RNAcentral.